GGGGUACGAGAAGGCAGCUACACGGCGACGUGAGGCUAAUCCCUAAAUCCUCUCUCAGUUCGGAUUGGAGUCUGCAACCCGACUCCAUGAAGCUGGAUUCGCUAGUAAUCGCGCAUCAGCCACGGCGCGGUGAAUACCGGUUCCCGGGCCUUGUACACACCGCCCGUCAAGCCAUGAAAGCCGGGGGUACCUGAAGUGCGUAACCGCGAGGAGCGCCCUAGGGUAAAACUGGUGAUUGGGGCUAAGUCGUAACAAGGUAAC
RNAcentral lists this ribosomal RNA (261 nucleotides) under uncultured bacterium. Its description in RNAcentral is "partial 16S ribosomal RNA". It matches the Rfam family "Bacterial small subunit ribosomal RNA", at positions 1234 to 1500 of the family's 1533-position model. The record is from RNAcentral.